CCGACGGUGAGAGACGAAAGCUGGGGGAGCAAACCGGAUUAGAUACCCGGGUAGUCCCAGCCGUAAACGAUGUGCGUUAGGUGUAUCGGUGACCACGAGUCACCGAGGUGCCGAAGAGAAAUCGUGAAACGUACCGCCUGGGAAGUACGGUCGCAAGGCUGAAACUUAAAGGAAUUGGCGGGGGAGCACCACAACAGGUGGAGCCUGCGGUUUAAUCGGACUCAACGCCGGGAACUCACCAGAUAAGACAGCUGAAUGAUAGUCGGGCUGAAGACUCUACUUGACUAGCUGAGAGGAGGUGCAUGGCCGUCGUCAGUUCGUACUGUGAAGCAUCCUGUUAAGUCA
RNAcentral lists this ribosomal RNA (345 nucleotides) under uncultured archaeon. RNAcentral's name for it is "bacterial SSU rRNA". It matches the Rfam family "Archaeal small subunit ribosomal RNA", at positions 691 to 1036 of the family's 1478-position model. The record is from RNAcentral.